AGAUAGCCUGCAGUCUAAGUAUAAGCAACUAUACGGUGAAACUGCGAAUGGCUCAUUAAAUCAGUUAUCGUUUAUUUGAUAGUACCUUACUACAUGGAUAACCGUGGUAAUUCUAGAGCUAAUACAUGCUAAAAACCUCGACUUCGGAAGGGGUGUAUUUAUUAGAUAAAAAACCAAUGCCCUUCGGGGCUCCUUGGUGAAUCAUAAUAACUUAACGAAUCGCAUGGCCUUGCGCCGGCGAUGGUUCAUUCAAAUUUCUGCCCUAUCAACUUUCGAUGGUAGGAUAGUGGCCUACCAUGGUAUCAACGGGUAACGGGGAAUUAGGGUUCGACUCCGGAGAGGGAGCCUGAGAAACGGCUACCACAUCCAAGGAAGGCAGCAGGCGCGCAAAUUACCCAAUCCCGACACGGGGAGGUAGUGACAAUAAAUACUGAUACAGGGCUCUUUUGGGUCUUGUAAUUGGAAUGAGUACAAUUUAAAUCCCUUAACGAGGAACAAUUGGAGGGCAAGUCUGGUGCCAGCAGCCGCGGUAAUUCCAGCUCCAAUAGCGUAUAUUAAAGUUGUUGCAGUUAAAAAGCUCGUAGUUGAACCUUGGGCCUGGCUGGCCGGUCCGCCUCACCGCGUGUACUGGUCCGGCCGGGCCUUUCCUUCUGGGGAACCUCAUGCCCUUCACUGGGCGUGUUGGGGAACCAGGACUUUUACUUUGAAAAAAUUAGAGUGUUCAAAGCAGGCCUUUGCUCGAAUACAUUAGCAUGGAAUAAUAGAAUAGGACGUGUGGUUCUAUUUUGUUGGUUUCUAGGACCGCCGUAAUGAUUAAUAGGGAUAGUCGGGGGCAUCAGUAUUCAAUCGUCAGAGGUGAAAUUCUUGGAUUGAUUGAAGACUAACUACUGCGAAAGCAUUUGCCAAGGAUGUUUUCAUUAAUCAGUGAACGAAAGUUAGGGGAUCGAAGACGAUCAGAUACCGUCGUAGUCUUAACCAUAAACUAUGCCGACUAGGGAUCGGACGGUGUUAGUAUUUUGACCCGUUCGGCACCUUACGAGAAAUCAAAGUUUUUGGGUCUGGGGGGAGUAUGGUCGCAGGUGAUAG
RNAcentral lists this ribosomal RNA (1086 nucleotides) under Cladosporium sp. RNAcentral's name for it is "SSU rRNA". It matches the Rfam family "Eukaryotic small subunit ribosomal RNA", at positions 41 to 1142 of the family's 1831-position model. The record is from RNAcentral. Lineage: Eukaryota; Fungi; Ascomycota; Dothideomycetes; Cladosporiales; Cladosporiaceae.